CCUACGGGAGGCUGCAGUGGGGAAUAUUGGACAAUGGGGGGAACCCUGAUCUAGCCAUGCCGCGUGUGUGAAGAAGGCCCUCGGGUUGUAAAGCACUUUCAGUGAGGAAGAACGCCUGGUGGUUAAUACCCAUCAGGAAAGACAUCACUCACAGAAGAAGCACCGGCUAACUCCGUGCCAGCAGCCGCGGUAAUACGGAGGGUGCGAGCGUUAAUCGGAAUUACUGGGCGUAAAGCGCGCGUAGGUGGCUUGAUAAGCCGGUUGUGAAAGCCCCGGGCUCAACCUGGGAACGGCAUCCGGAACUGUCAAGCUAGAGUGCAGGAGAGGAAGGUAGAAUUCCCGGUGUAGCGGUGAAAUGCGUAGAGAUCGGGAGGAAUACCAGUGGCGAAGGCGGCCUUCUGGACUGACACUGACACUGAGGUGCGAAAGCGUGGGUAGCAAACAGGAUUAGAUACCCGGGUAGUC
Molecule: ribosomal RNA, 465 nt
Filed under: Vreelandella stevensii
Lineage: Bacteria; Pseudomonadati; Pseudomonadota; Gammaproteobacteria; Oceanospirillales; Halomonadaceae
Description: partial 16S ribosomal RNA
Rfam family: Bacterial small subunit ribosomal RNA
Source: RNAcentral